AGUGAACGCUGGCGGCAGGCCUAACACAUGCAAGUCGAACGGCAGCACAGUAAGAGCUUGCUCUUACGGGUGGCGAGUGGCGGACGGGUCAGGAAUACAUCGGAACCUACUUUUUCGUGGGGGAUAACGUAGGGAAACUUACGCUAAUACCGCAUAUGACCUACGGGUGAAAGCAGGGGAUCUUCGCACCUGGCGCGAAUGAACGAGCGGAUGUCGGGUUAGCUGGUUGGGGGGGUAAAGGCCCAGCAAGCCGAGGAUCCGUAGCUGGUCUGAGAGGAUGAUCGGCCACACUGGAACUGAGACACGGUCCAGACUCCUACGGGAGGCAGCAGUGGGGAAUAUUGGGCAAUAGGCGCAAGCCUGAUCCAGCCAUACCGCGUGGGUGAAGAAGGCCUUCGGGUUGUAAAGCCCUUUUGUUGGGAAAGAAAAGCAGCAGGUUGAUACCCCGCUGUUCUGACGGUACCCAAAGAAUAAGCACCGGCUAACUUCGUG
RNAcentral lists this ribosomal RNA (492 nucleotides) under uncultured bacterium. RNAcentral's name for it is "partial 16S ribosomal RNA". It matches the Rfam family "Bacterial small subunit ribosomal RNA", at positions 29 to 507 of the family's 1533-position model. The record is from RNAcentral.